GAUCAUGGCUCAGGAUGAACGCUAGCUACGGGCUUAACACAUGCAAGUCGAGGGGGCAGCAUGAACUUAGCUUGCUAAGUUUGAUGGCGACCGGCGCACGGGUGAGUAACACGUAUCCAACCUUCCCGUUACUCUGGAAUAGCCUUUCGAAAGAAAGAUUAAUACCGGAUAGUAUCGAGAGAUUGCAUGAUUACCCGAUUAAAGAUUCAUCGGUAACGGAUGGGGAUGCGUUCCAUUAGG
Molecule: ribosomal RNA, 240 nt
Filed under: uncultured bacterium
Lineage: Bacteria
Description: partial 16S ribosomal RNA
Rfam family: Bacterial small subunit ribosomal RNA
Source: RNAcentral